This 817-nucleotide long non-coding RNA is filed under the name Lactuca sativa (garden lettuce). RNAcentral's name for it is "long non-coding RNA (LSAT_LNC001076)". Lineage: Eukaryota; Viridiplantae; Streptophyta; Magnoliopsida; Asterales; Asteraceae. The record is from RNAcentral.
AAGAUCGAGUGUGAAGUAGAAGAGGCAAAACAUAAAAUCAAAGAAAAGGAGUAUGAGGCCGACUAUAAGAAGGAAGAGCAGAAGGAAAAAUUCAAAGAAGAACUAGCCGAGGCUAAGUACAAAGUAGAAGAAAUCAAGGAAAAGAUCGAGUGUGAAGUAGAAGAGGCCAAAGAGAAAAUCAAAGAAAAGGAAUAUGAGGCUGAGUACAAGAAGGAAGAGCACAAGGAAAAACUCAAGAAAGAAGUAGAGGAGGCCAAGUACAAAAUAGAAGAAUUCAAGGAUAAUAUUGACUAUAAAGUAGAGGAGAUUAAGGAGAAAAUUGAGGAAAAAAUUGAAGAAAUCAAGGAAAAGGUCGAGUAUGAAGUAGAAGAGGCCAAAGAGAAACAUAAGGAAAAGGAAUAUGAAUCUAAGCAUAAGAAGGAAGAACGCAAGGAAAAACUUAAGGAAGAAGUAGAGGAGGCAAAGUACAAAAUAGAAGAAUUAAAGGAAAAGAUCGAGCAUAAAAUAGAAGAAGUUAAGGAGAAAAUUGAUGAGAAAGUCGAAGAAAUUGAGCACAAGGUUGAAUGUGAAGUAGAAGAAGCCAAAGAAAAACAUAAGGAAAAAAAGUAUGAAUCCGAGUACAAAAAGGAAGAACGGAAGGAAAAACUCAAAGAAGAAGUAGAGGAGGCAAAGUACAAAAUAGAAGAAUUGAAAGAAAAAGUUGAGUGUGAAGUAGAGGAGGUUAAGAAUAAAAUCGAGGAGAAAGUGAAAGAAAUUGAGGAAAAGGUUGAGUGUGAAAUAGAAGAGGCCAAAGAGAAACACAAGGAAAAAGAGUACG